RNAcentral lists this transfer RNA (73 nucleotides) under Albula goreensis. It matches the Rfam family "tRNA". From Rfam's summary of the family: Transfer RNA (tRNA) molecules are approximately 80 nucleotides in length. Their secondary structure includes four short double-helical elements and three loops (D, anti-codon, and T loops). Lineage: Eukaryota; Metazoa; Chordata; Actinopteri; Albuliformes; Albulidae. The record is from Rfam by way of RNAcentral.
GGAGGAUUUGCUCAAAUGGUAGAGCGCUCGCUUAGCAUGCAAGAGGUAGCGGGAUCAAUGCCUGCAUCCUCCA